GAUGAAGAACGUAGCGAAAUGCGAUACUUGGUGUGAAUUGCAGAAUCCCGUGAACCAUCGAGUCUUUGAACGCAAGUUGCGCCCGAAGCCAUUAGGCCGAGGGCACGCCUGCCUGGGUGUCACACGUCGUUGCCCCCCCAUCUACUCCUUCGGGAUUGCGGGGGGCGGAUGAUGGCCUCCCGUGCGCCUCGUCGCGCGGUUGGCAUAAAUGCCAAGUCCUCGGCGACGCACGCCACGACAAUCGGUGGUUGCGAAACCUCGGUUGCCCGUCGUGUGCGGUCGUUGCGCAUCGAGGGCUCGAAAAAAUUGCCGGGCUCCGGCUCGGCUUUCAACGCGACCCCAGGUCAGGCGGGGUUACCCGCUGAAUUUAAGCAUAUCAAUAAGCGGAGGA
This 391-nucleotide unclassified non-coding RNA is filed under the name soil metagenome. RNAcentral's name for it is "partial contains 5.8S ribosomal RNA, internal transcribed spacer 2, and large subunit ribosomal RNA". The stretch from base 1 to 122 matches the Rfam family "5.8S ribosomal RNA", at positions 35 to 154 of the family's 154-position model. The record is from RNAcentral.